Molecule: long non-coding RNA, 1138 nt
Organism: Propithecus coquereli (Coquerel's sifaka)
Lineage: Eukaryota; Metazoa; Chordata; Mammalia; Primates; Indriidae
Exons: 2
Source: RefSeq, a predicted model, not a curated record
CCUGCCGACGGCGGCUCGACUGCGGCCCGCAGCGGCGGCCCCGGAGCCGAGGACUGGGGUGGGCUCGCGCUCCUCGUCGCUGGAGAAGUCCGGCGGCCCCUUGCUGUUGGCGCCUGCAGCGAGCGGCGGCCGGUUGCGCGCCGUGAGGUGCUGCAGGACCGAGGGGUCUUCCAGGAACUCCGGCAUCUCGGCGAUCUGCGAAUCCCCUUCCCCGCAGCCUUCACAGCCGUCGCUCACGCCGGCGCGCUAGCUCCUGGCCGGGGGCCGCGCGGCCGCCUCCGAGCCUCUCGGCUCCCGCCCGGGACGAACGCCGCGGAGCAGAGCAGAAACUCCCGGACACAAAGCAAAUUCAGCCCCGGACACAAAAGCCCCCGGAGCGCAACCACGGACCAAGUGCGGCCAAGCUAGAAGCCCGCACCAACCCCAGCCCACACACUACAGGCAGGAGGCGAACAGCCUGCUUCGCCCACGCCCCAAGAACGCGCGCCGCCAUUGGCGGGCAGCGGGAGGAAGCGUGGCGGUCAUUGGCGGGUUGGCUCGCGCGGGUUCCAUUAGCCGCAGCGCCGAGCGAGAGGUGGUAGAAACGCAGUUUAAAAGCCGCUCGGGCGGGAGCCGAGGCACCCGGUCCGGUUCUGUUUUCAUUUCCUCCACCCUUUCCCUCAGACGCUGAUAAAGGACAAGUCGUACCGUUUUGGGGCGCCGUUUCCUCUCCUUCUCCUUGCUUAAGAAGCAGCCUUCCUCUCUGGGGUCGAACGGGCCGAAUUCCACGCCAGCUACGAGGACCCUUGGCUGGGCCUUUCUUCCUCCCGGGACACUGACCCACCGAAGAAGAGUGGCCGCAGCCUUGCCUUCCCCAAACGCUACCCCUGAAGGGAAAGGAAAGAAGCGAGGCAUGUCUGCAGGCACUCAUAUUCCUUGAUUUACUUGCGGGGGCGAAGGAGGGCAGGGAGUUAAAUCCCCCCCGCUCUCCGCUCGGGAACGCUUCUUUUGUUCCUGAAAUUCAGGAAAAGCCAGACUUCUACUACUGGGCACUUUAGAUUGUCCUUGAAUUGGGAACAAAAUUGUAUUGUUAUUCGCUUCUUAAGGUAAAAAGGCUGGGGCAUUUCUAAGUUUCAUUUGAACAGUUAUGACUCAAGAC